GGAAGUGUGCACCGAGCGGUCGAAGGGGCAGGUCUUGAAAACCUGUGUGUCAGCAAUGGCACCCUGGGUUCGAAUCCCAGCACUUCCG
This 88-nucleotide transfer RNA is filed under the name Bifidobacteriaceae bacterium. RNAcentral's name for it is "tRNA-Ser". It matches the Rfam family "tRNA". From Rfam's summary of the family: Transfer RNA (tRNA) molecules are approximately 80 nucleotides in length. RNAcentral also lists the same sequence under 1 other name. Lineage: Bacteria; Bacillati; Actinomycetota; Actinomycetes; Bifidobacteriales; Bifidobacteriaceae. The record is from RNAcentral.